This 331-nucleotide ribosomal RNA is filed under the name uncultured eukaryote. RNAcentral's name for it is "partial 18S ribosomal RNA". It matches the Rfam family "Eukaryotic small subunit ribosomal RNA", at positions 1470 to 1796 of the family's 1831-position model. The record is from RNAcentral.
CCCUUAGAUGUUCUGGGCCGCACACGCGCUACACUGGCAGGUUCAUCGAGCUUCAUGCCCUGAUCUGAGAAGAACGGGAAAUCUUUGAACACCUGCCGUGCUUGGGAUAGAUGUUUGCAAUUAUUCAUCUUCAACGAGGAUUGCCUUGUAAGCGCACGUCAUCAGCGUGCAUUGAAUACGACCCUGUAUUCUGUACACACCGCCCGUCGCUCCUACCGAUUGAAGUUUUCGGUGAAUUUACUGGAGAUCCCUUUUGAAGGUGGUUCGCCACUGGAAGAAGUAUUCAAAAGUAAAUGAAGCGAAUGCUUUAGAGGAAGGAGAAGUCGUAACA